UCUCUGCUGGUCCAGUGGCUAAGACUCUGCACUCCUAAUGCAAAGGGCCCGGGGUUCUAUUCCUGGUUGGGGAA
Non-coding RNA from Ovis aries (sheep), 74 nucleotides. The record is from Rfam. Lineage: Eukaryota; Metazoa; Chordata; Mammalia; Artiodactyla; Bovidae.